This 503-nucleotide ribosomal RNA is filed under the name uncultured bacterium. Its description in RNAcentral is "partial 16S ribosomal RNA". It matches the Rfam family "Bacterial small subunit ribosomal RNA", at positions 30 to 523 of the family's 1533-position model. The record is from RNAcentral.
AUUGAACGCUGGCGGCAGGCUUAACACAUGCAAGUCGAGCGGGGUGAUGGUGCUUGCACUAUCACUUAGCGGCGGACGGGUGAGUAAUGCUUAGGAAUCUGCCUAUUAGUGGGGGACAACAUCUCGAAAGGGAUGCUAAUACCGCAUACGUCCUACGGGAGAAAGCAGGGGAUCACUUGUGACCUUGCGCUAAUAGAUGAGCCUAAGUCGGAUUAGCUAGUUGGUGGGGUAAAGGCCUACCAAGGCGACGAUCUGUAGCGGGUCUGAGAGGAUGAUCCGCCACACUGGGACUGAGACACGGCCCGGACUCCUACGGGAGGCAGCAGUGGGGAAUAUUGGACAAUGGGGGGAACCCUGAUCCAGCCAUGCCGCGUGUGUGAAGAAGGCCUUAUGGUUGUAAAGCACUUUGAGCGAGGAGGAGGCUCUUUUGGUUAAUACCCAAGAUGAGUGGACGUUACUCGCAGAAUAAGCACCGGCUAACUCUGUGCCAGCCGCCGCAGUAA